AGCCUUCCCCAGGUACGACUCCGCCAUGAGCAUCAUGACCGAGAUCGGAAACCGCCUGGGGCAGGUGCAGGCGCUGCUGGGUGUGGCCAAGUGCUGGGUGGCCAGGAAGGCGCUGGACAAGGUGCCUGCAGAACAACGGGACCCGGAGCUGUCCCAACUGCCGCCGCUCAUCCAUGAAGCCUGGCUUUGUAUGACUCCUGGCAGCAGGCGUGGGCUUCCUCCUCGCCACUCCUGCUCUUUCUCCACUGCACGCCAGAGGCCCAUUUACUCCUGGGGCAGCUGCCAGGUCGUCCUCACCACAGCCAAGGCCUUGGGGCCUGCCCACGGCUGCUCCCCUGGGCCCAGCUCCCCUCCCUGCCUCUUUGUACUUUGCUCGUUAUAGAAAAAUAAACUGUUUGUACCUGG
Molecule: small RNA, 405 nt
Filed under: Pan troglodytes (chimpanzee)
Lineage: Eukaryota; Metazoa; Chordata; Mammalia; Primates; Hominidae
Description: processed transcript
Source: RNAcentral